CGAUAACCAGGAGGUCUUUUUUCAUCGACCAUGUGCAUGUCCGUUCAGCGGAAAGCCUGAGGUCAUAAGGAGACCACCGCCUUGAACCGCAGGGUUCAAGGACCUAUUAGUACAGCGGCAAUUUGGGGAACUA
This 133-nucleotide small RNA is filed under the name Gammaproteobacteria bacterium. RNAcentral's name for it is "partial 6S RNA". It matches the Rfam family "6S / SsrS RNA", at positions 50 to 187 of the family's 187-position model. Rfam says of the family: E. coli 6S RNA was the first non coding RNA to be sequenced, but its function was unknown until recently. It consists of 184 nucleotides that fold into an extended hairpin structure with a large single-stranded internal bulge. Lineage: Bacteria; Pseudomonadati; Pseudomonadota; Gammaproteobacteria. The record is from RNAcentral.